This 71-nucleotide transfer RNA is filed under the name Fusarium fujikuroi. Its description in RNAcentral is "transfer RNA-Pseudo(CAT)". Lineage: Eukaryota; Fungi; Ascomycota; Sordariomycetes; Hypocreales; Nectriaceae. The record is from RNAcentral.
CACAACUUGUACUAACAGACGCAGCCGGGCUCAUAACCCGGAGGUCGCACGAUCGAAACGUGCAAUUGCUA